RNAcentral lists this ribosomal RNA (433 nucleotides) under uncultured bacterium. RNAcentral's name for it is "partial 16S ribosomal RNA". It matches the Rfam family "Bacterial small subunit ribosomal RNA", at positions 29 to 507 of the family's 1533-position model. The record is from RNAcentral.
AACGAACGCUGGCGGCAUGCCUAACGCAUGCAAGUCGAACGAGACCUUCGGGUCUAGUGGCGCACGGGUGCGUAACGCGUGGGAACCUGCCCUUAGGUUCGGAAUAACUCCCCGAAAGGGGUGCUAAUACCGGAUAAUGUCUUCGGACCAAAGAUUUAUCGCCUUUGGAUGGGCCCGCGUUGGAUUAGCUAGUUGGUAGGGUAAAAGCCUACCAAGGCGACGAUCCAUAGCUGGUCUGAGAGGAUGAUCAGCCACACUGGGACGGAGAACCGGCCCAGACUCCUACGGGAGGCAGCAGUGGGGAAUAUUGGACAAUGGGCGAAAGCCUGAUCCAGCAAUGCCGCGUGAGUGAUGAAGGCCUUAGGGUUGUAAAGCUCUUUUACCCGGGAUGAUAAUGACAGUACCGGGAGAAUAAGCUCCGGCUAACUCCGUG